UGAGUACGAGACGCUAAGGCGUUGAAGCAGUGUAUGUCAGACUUCCAAGAAAAGCUCGCAAUGUCAUAACAAAAAAUGCCUGUACCAUAACCGACACAGGUGGGUAGGUAGAGUAUACUAAGGGGCGCGAGAUAACUCUCUCUAAGGAACUCGGCAAAAUGACUCCGUAACUUCGGGAGAAGGAGUGCCUUAUUUUUAUAAGGUUGCAAUAACAAGAUCCAAGCAACUGUUUACCAAAAACACAGGUCUCCGCUAAGUCGUAAGACGAUGUAUGGGGGCUGACGCCUGCCCAGUGCCAGAAGGUUAAAGAAGUUGGUUAGUUUCGGCGAAGCUAAUGACUGAAGCCCUGGUGAACGGCGGCCGUAACGAUAACGGUCCUAAGGUAGCGAAAUUCCUUGUCGGGUAAGUUCCGACCCGCACGAAAGGCGUAAUGAUUUGGAUACUGUCUCGGAGAGGGGCUCGGUGAAAUAGACUUGUCUGUGAAGAUGCGGACUACCUGCACCUGGACAGAAAGACCCUAUGAAGCUUUACUGUAACUUGAGAUUGAAAUUGGACUUUAUUUGCGCAGUAUAGGUGGGAGACGUUGAGAAUAUUCUUGCGGGAAUAUUGGAGUCAUCAGUGAGAUACCACUCUUGUAAUGUUAGAUUUCUAACUUUGUAUCAUUAUCUGGUCAAAGGACAGUUUCAGGCGGGCAGUUUGACUGGGGCGGUCGCCUCCCAAACGGUAACGGAGGCGCACAAAGGUUUCCUCUGAACGUGUAGAAAUCGUAUCUAGAGUGUAAAGGCAUAAGGAAGCUUGACUGUGAGACCUACAAGUCGAGCAGGGACGAAAGUCGGUCUUAGUGAUCUGACGGUGCUGAGUGGAAAGGCCGUCACUCAACGGAUAAAAGUUACUCUAAGGAUAACAGGCUGAUCUCCCCCAAGAGUACACAUCGACGGGGAGGUUUGGCACCUCGAUGUCGGCUCAUCGCGUCCUGGGGCGGUAGUACGUCCCAAGGGUUGGGCUGUUCGCCCAUGAAAGCGGUACGCGAGCUGGGUUCAGAACGCCGUGAGACAGUUCGGUCCAUAACCGGUGUAGGCGUUAGAAUAUUGAGAGGAGCCUUCUUUAGUACGAGAGGACCGAGAAGGACAUACCUCUGGUGUACCAGUUAUCGUGCCAACGGUAAACGCUGGGUAGCUAUGUAUGGAGUGGAUAACCGCUGAAAGCAUCUAAGUGGGAAGCCCACCUCAAGAUAAGUAUUCUCUUA
This 1246-nucleotide ribosomal RNA is filed under the name metagenome. RNAcentral describes it as "bacterial LSU rRNA". It matches the Rfam family "Bacterial large subunit ribosomal RNA", at positions 1564 to 2818 of the family's 2925-position model. The record is from RNAcentral.